UACGUAGGGGGCAAGCGUUAUCCGGAUUUACUGGGUGUAAAGGGAGCGUAGACGGUAAUGUAAGUCUGAUGUGAAAGCCCGGGGCUCAACCCCGGGACUGCAUUGGAAACUAUGUAACUAGAGUACCGGAGAGGUAAGCGGAAUUCCUAGUGUAGCGGUGAAAUGCGUAGAUAUUAGGAGGAACAUCGGUGGCGUAAGCGCUUUACUGGGCCGUAAUUGACGCUGAGGAACGAAAGCCAGGGUAGCAAAUGGG
Molecule: ribosomal RNA, 253 nt
Filed under: uncultured Dorea sp.
Lineage: Bacteria; Bacillati; Bacillota; Clostridia; Lachnospirales; Lachnospiraceae
Description: partial 16S ribosomal RNA
Rfam family: Bacterial small subunit ribosomal RNA
Source: RNAcentral